This 468-nucleotide ribosomal RNA is filed under the name uncultured bacterium. Its description in RNAcentral is "partial 16S ribosomal RNA". It matches the Rfam family "Bacterial small subunit ribosomal RNA", at positions 28 to 507 of the family's 1533-position model. The record is from RNAcentral.
GACGAACGCUGGCGGCGUGCUUAACACAUGCAAGUCGAACGGAAAGGCCCUGCUUUUGUGGGGUGCUCGAGUGGCGAACGGGUGAGUAACACGUGAGUAACCUGCCCUUGACUUUGGGAUAACUUCAGGAAACUGGGGCUAAUACCGGAUAGGAGCUCCUGCUGCAUGGUGGGGGUUGGAAAGUUUCGGCGGUUGGGGAUGGACUCGCGGCUUAUCAGCUUGUUGGUGGGGUAGUGGCUUACCAAGGCUUUGACGGGUAGCCGGACUGAGAGGGUGACCGGCCACAAUGGGACUAAGAUACGGCCCAGACUCCUACGGGAGGCAGCAGUGGGGAAUAUUGCACGAUGGGCGGAAGCCUGAUGCAGCAACGCCGCGUGCGGGAUGACGGCCUUCGGGUUGUAAACCGCUUUCGCCUGUGACGAAGCGUGAGUGACGGUAAUGGGUAAAGAAGCACCGGCUAACUACGUG